ACCUACGGGGCGCAGCAGGGAAUCUUCCACAAUGGGCGAAAGCCUGAUGGAGCAACGCCGCGUGGGUGAAGAAGGUCUUCGGAUCGUAAAACCCUGUUGUUAGAGAAGAAAGUGCGUGAGAGUAACUGUUCACGUUUCGACGGUAUCUAACCAGAAAGCCACGGCUAACUACGUGCCAGCAGCCGCGGUAAUACGUAGGUGGCAAGCGUUAUCCGGAUUUAUUGGGCGUAAAGGGAACGCAGGCGGUCUUUUAAGUCUGAUGUGAAAGCCUUCGGCUUAACCGGAGUAGUGCAUUGGAAACUGGG
Molecule: ribosomal RNA, 305 nt
Filed under: uncultured bacterium
Lineage: Bacteria
Description: bacterial SSU rRNA
Rfam family: Bacterial small subunit ribosomal RNA
Source: RNAcentral